UCAUUUCUCAUGUUACUGUUAAAUAAGUAAAAUCACGAGAGAGGGCAGCACGGAUCUAAUGCUUACAAUGCUUUUCGUCAAUUUUACUUUGGAAUCUCUUUAAAGAAUAUAUUUUAAUAAUUCUUCAAAAAUAUUUCUACAUGUAUAUUGAAUCCAUAUGCAUUUGUAUUAAAAAAUCUGAACACGGAUGCAUGUGAGUAAAUAAAAAAGCAAGAGAGCGUACGAAUGAGCAAUCCCCGGCUUCGAAUAGCUUGCGCAACAGCUCGAACUCAUACUCAGUUACAGCGGAUGAACUUUUCCGUAUUGGGAAUGCUUAUGAAAUAAUCUACGAGGAGGAUCGGCCGCUUAAAGGUUCACUCGUGUCUUUCACCAACUUCUAGGACUCGAAGGAAAAAGAGAAAGGAUAAAACGUUAAAUUAUACAUUUUUUUUUUUAUUUAAAGGUAUAUAUAUAUGCUUUUUUUUUUCUUGUUAUCAAAGAGAAUAUAAUUCGUUUUAAAUUAGAGAAUAUGCGCGCGAAUCUUUCGAGAUCACAUCGAUCUUGAGAUUUUACUAUUUAUUCAUAGACAAACAAUUCAGUAGGAUCGGGAUGAUUGCGGAAUAGAUGCGUCGCGUAAGCUAAGCCAAUCAAGUUGCGCAAAAGAUAUCGUACAAGUGGAUGAGAGGAAGACGGCAACCGACAACCAUCGAGAAGAGGAUCGCCAGAAGAAAUUCUCUGGCGUAACGUCGACCUCCGUUCUCUACUCCCUCCCGUUCGAGACCGUUUUCCCUUUAUACUCUCGAUGGUAAAGUUCCAAUCGCGCUUCCAUCGCGAUGUGCUCAUGUGCCACCUCUGUCGCCUGUUGCCGUCGCUGCCGUUGCGAGGAAACAAGACGAGUACCAAGAGAAGAAGGGAUGGACCAGGACAGGAUGAGAAGGGUGAAGAGAAGUGUUCUUCGAGAGUUCAUCGCUUAUUAUGUAAGCAACACCUGCGGUCUGCAUCCGUGUUCUGUUUCCCGGUAACAGAGUGCAUCUUCUUUUCUGACUCGAUCAAGAAAUAGGAGAAGAGGG
Long non-coding RNA from Apis florea (little honeybee), 1049 nucleotides. The record is from RefSeq and is a predicted model, not a curated record. NCBI's taxonomy places the organism in Eukaryota, Metazoa, Arthropoda, Insecta, Hymenoptera, Apidae.